AGAGUUUGAUCAUGGCUCAGGACGAACGCUGGCGGCGUGCUUAACACAUGCAAGUCGAGCGGAAAGGCCCUUCGGGGUACUCGAGCGGCGAACGGGUGAGUAACACGUGAGCAACCUGCCCCUGGCUCUGGGAUAGCUCCGGGAAACCGGGAUUAAUACCGGAUGGGUGACCUGCUGCCGCAUGGCGGCGGGUGGAAAGU
Molecule: ribosomal RNA, 200 nt
Filed under: uncultured bacterium
Lineage: Bacteria
Description: partial 16S ribosomal RNA
Rfam family: Bacterial small subunit ribosomal RNA
Source: RNAcentral